GAUGAACGCUGGCGGCGUGCCUAAUACAUGCAAGUCGAGCGAACAGACGAGGAGCUUGCUCCUUCGACGUUAGCGGCGGACGGGUGAGUAACACGUAGGUAACCUACCUAUAAGACUGGGAUAACUUCGGGAAACCGGAGCUAAUACCGGAUAAUAUUUCGAACCGCAUGGUUCGAUAGUGAAAGAUGGCUUUGCUAUCACUUAUAGAUGGACCUGCGCCGUAUUAGCUAGUUGGUAAGAUAACGGCUUACCAAGGCAACGAUACGUAGCCGACCUGAGAGGGUGAUCGGCCACACUGGAACUGAGACACGGUCCAGACUCCUACGGGAGGCAGCAGUAGGGAAUCUUCCGCAAUGGGCGAAAGCCUGACGGAGCAACGCCGCGUGAGUGAUGAAGGUCUUCGGAUCGUAAAACUCUGUUAUUAGGGAAGAACAAACGUGUAAGUAACUGUGCACGUCUUGACGGUACCUAAUCAGAAAGCCACGGCUAACUACGUG
Molecule: ribosomal RNA, 497 nt
Filed under: uncultured bacterium
Lineage: Bacteria
Description: partial 16S ribosomal RNA
Rfam family: Bacterial small subunit ribosomal RNA
Source: RNAcentral